Molecule: non-coding RNA, 121 nt
Organism: Picea glauca (white spruce)
Lineage: Eukaryota; Viridiplantae; Streptophyta; Pinopsida; Pinales; Pinaceae
Source: Rfam
ACAUGCCUACAACAUAGCAUUAAUGCACCGGAUCCCAUUAGAACACCACAGUUAAGAGCGCUUGGGCUAAAAUAGUACUGGGAUGGGUGACCGCUCAGGAAGUCCUAGUGUUUUACAUGCC